CUUCAUUCUCCUCUCCACGGUGAAACCCUAGAUCGGCCCCUCCUCGCUACCCAACCCCCGGCUCUCAUUUCCUCCUCCAAUCCCGUCUCCUUCCUCCUCCCGAAUGGCGGCGCUGCGCCGCCUCUUCUCCUCUUCCCGCACUGCCUCUCUCCGGGAUCGACUGGACGCGAAAAUCCCCGGCGGCAGGGAACAUGCACCGAGCGACGGCUGCGGUUGGAAAGCGGCGGCGGCAAGCAGCGACGGGGAUGCCUGGACGCAGCCGCAGCGAUGGCAGGGACCGCGCGCCCGAGCGAGGGCGGCUGGACGCGGCAUCGGUGAUGGCCGGCAACGACUGGGGCGGCUGGACGCUGCAGCACCAGGGAGUGCGCCCGAGCGAGGAGACGGCGACGCGCCGGUGGUGAAAGGGAGGAAGAGGCACUCACACAAGGUCUGGUGGAGGUGCUGACGCACGGUGCUCAUGUACGUGGAAGGGAGCGAAAAGGUGUGUUGUUGGAAGCUGGUCAUGAUGACUACUGCAAGUCUGGUAGAGUGGAGAAUAGUAAAAAGGCUGAAAACACCAUUGAUAAUAAUGUAGUAAUAUAAAACUUGGAGGUGCUCGCGAUCAUUUUCUGAAUCCUUGAAUGGUACAUUCAUCUCCAGGCUGCUUUGAAUGCUUUAGCUUCUCAUGUUUUUGGAUUCUCCUGCUGGAAAGGAUGAGUAUGCUCAAUGGAUUGUAGCUAGCCAGCGGAGCCUUAUUGAAGUUAUGGCCGCAUUUCCUUCAGCUAAGACUCCUUUGGGAAUUGGGAGUAUUCUUUGCAGCGGUUGCUCCUCGUCUACAUCCACGAUUCUACUCCAUAUCAUCAUCUCCAAAGAUGGCUCCCUCCAGAACUCAUGUGACAUGUGCAUUAGUUUAUGGGCCUACACCAACAGAAAGGAUCCACCGAGGAGUUUGUUCGACAUGGAUUAAGUUCUCGUUAGUUGGUUGGUGAGCCCUCAAUUGUUGGAUGUUACUACCAAAAUUGAUCCAUCCAGAGCACCACCUGCAGGAGUUUUCUUAUAUAAUGACCCACAAGUACUUCUUAGGCAGUAUGAUCUAUGAGCUGGAUGGAAAAUCUGAUAUCUGUUGAGAAGUUGUGAGAUUUCCAAGAUGAGUGACGACUUGGAUAAACGGGAUAUUUCAAUUCUUUUUACUGAGAGAGACAGAGGCUAAUAAUUUAGGACACACAUUGUCUGAAAUGAAUGUAGAACAAGCUGACUGCCGGAAUCAUGAGAGGGUGUUGUGGUACUGACUUCUCCAUUGUGGCUAGCUGGUGUCAUCUUGCCAUGGGCAGCGCCCCGCACCGCCAUGUGCUAGCCAGCAAGAGGGGAAUAUGGCAUCAGAAUGCCCUGGAUUGCCGCACUAGGCACCAACGGCGAGUCGAAUAACAGCAAGGAGCGGCUGCUGUAGCUUUGGACCGCACGGCGCUGGCGACAACAGAAGAGGGCCAGCACAUCUUUGAGAGAAGCAGACGCCAUUGAGAACAGUACUUCAGAUCAUAGGCUUGUUCUAUCUCUAAAAGGCGCUAGCCUACUCGGCCAACCAGAGCACCCAAAGGGGCAAACCUUCGUUGGUCGUCCGAUCGGUGCUGGACAGUAAAUUUUGCCUCCCGCAGCGAUUGAUCACCGUCCAUUUUACCUUUUCCUCGUUCACGUUAGCGCUGUGCUGAGAAGUCUAUGACAUUUGGGGUCUCCUUUGAGUGGGGUCGCGUGGCUGAGGCAAGAGGGCUCGUGCUGUGAGUCUGUCAUUUCUCUUGGCUAAGGUGAAAACCUAGACACCACGAUUGGCUCCGCUUCCUCCUGUCCUCCCCAAUCCGCCGCAUUCUCUCCUCCUCCCAUUUUGCCCAACUCAGGUCGCCCAGGAGGUGAAGAGGAGGCAGGUUGGACCGCGCAUCGACCUCGCCGCUCCUCUUCCGAGCGUUGGAGAAGCAUGGUCGGGAGGCAGCGCGGGCGCCACCGCCUCGUGCCUCGCUCGGGCCGCUUCGUAGAGCGCCAGGAGGCCAUGGUAGCCGCCGGUCGCGGGCAUCAGGCCGUGGCCGCGUCAGCCGCCGCCCCAGCGGUCUUCUCUCUCUACCCACAGGGUGGUCGCCCUCUCUGGUGCGUCGGAGCGCCGGAUCGGGCGAUGUGAAUCAGUGGUGAGCCAAGCUGCAUGGAGCAGCCAUUGGUGGAGAGGACGCCACGCCGACGAGCAGUGGUGGUCACCCAGAUCCCAGCAAAGCAUGGGGACGGGUGUCCUCUACCAGACCUGGGCUUCCUUGUCAACGAUCACCAUCUACAGCAGCUCCGCAGCCUUGCAGUGUACUGCUUGCUGAAAAAUUGUCAAUGAAUCAAGUCGUGGGGAAAAAGUGAAAGGCAAAGCGAGUUAUGUCAAUAAUGUGUGAUUGUUCUGAAAGUGAGCAGACAUACGGCGGUACUCUAGCCAUAGAGUGAGAUGGAAAAUUAAGUCCAUGUCCAGGAUGGUGCGGGCUGGAGCGGUGGAGGUUCGGCGUCUUCGCCUCACUGCCGUGCAUAGAGCUGCUGCUACUGCUAUGCCUUUCUUCUCAAUGUCUCUUGGGUUGUUUCUUGCUGCUGCUGCUGGCACUUGGCUGAGGUGGAGUUCGCCUUGCUUCUCUGCAGCAUUAUCUCGUGCUUCGUUUCCUUCUUACUCUUAAUUAUUUUUGUAGAAUCUUCUAUUUUCCUUACUGCGAGUCUACGUGGCUCCUACACUUCUUCCACGUUCAUUUAUGCUUGUACGAUCUGGUUGGUCUUAUUUCACAUGCGUUAUUCAUGCUUUCUUUCUUUGUGCUUCGAAUGGCUGCCUACUAAUUCUACUUUGGUGUUAUGUUUGUUUCGCUUCGAAUAUUGAUCGUUUUGCAGUUCUAUGUGUAUGUGCAGUGCAGCUUCUUUGGAAGGUUCCUUACUGCCUCUCUGGCCCUCCUAGGAUAGGUGCGUCCCUUACGCUUUCUUGUGUAUAUGCGCUGAAUGAUCUGUGGAGUAGGUGCUAAGCCUCACAUGAUAUAUGGACUUUUUCUCUCUAUCUUGUGAAUGCAUGACACUAUGGUCCGUUUGUUUGUGCUUCUUUCUCAUAUGUGUAUAUGUUAUAAGGUUGCUAUGGGUCUAAGAGUGGGGAUGAUUGCUUUUGCAAAUCCAUGAGCCGGCCGGCUAUCUGUUUCAGAGUAAAAUCUGAUUAAAAAUGCCUUGUGUUAUGACCUGAAUUCCUGUAUGUUGAUAUGUUUUAGAAUCUUACUGUACACCCUACUCGAAAAUCAUCUCUUGCUUUUGAACCCCAAAAGGUUAAAAUUUGUACCGGUGCAUCUACUCCCUUGCUAAUAUGCAAUCCAACAAUUGUUUCAUAUAUGAAGCAAGGGGCUAAUAGUUUUUCCUGUUUUGUUAGACGGUGAACAGCAGAUUCUUAAUUGCUUAUCGAUGCCUGCUCAUAGAUUAAUGUUUUUUUCUGGGGUUCAGAGAUAUUUGGAUAGCUGCUACUAUCUAGAGGUUUAAUAGGCCAGAAUCUGGAAGCUCCACGUUGCCAGUUUGAUCUAACCAAUAUAUUUUCAGACUUGAUAUAACUAAAAAAAUGCCCAUUUGGUGCAAGUUGACCGAGUUAAAUUAUUAGUUGUCCCUUUGAUAUCCCCAAAAAAUGCUCAUUUAGAGGUUUGGAGUUUAUUUAUCAAGCACUUGGAUUGUUACUUCUAUGAUGUUUUCUUCCUUGCACUUGCUUUCGUUGCUUGGUUUGGAAAAAAAGGUAGAUAUCUCUGGAACCCUUGUUUCUCUUUAAUGAGUUUAAUGGCCAAUCGUUGUUACUCCUCUGUUGUUUGGUUCCUUGCACUUACUUCUGUUUAGCUGGUUGGUUCUUGCUUUUGGAAUAAUACAUGGUUCUUACAAAAACCUUGUUUCAGCUUUAGCAAGUUCGGACCCAUGGAUACAGUUUUAAUUAACAAUUUGUUCCUUGUUUUCGCCUACGCUCUCCAUAUGUGGCCUACCGUUACAUUCUUGAUGUUCGUUUCUUCCUCUACUUUGUUUUUCUUUGGUGUCCGAUUUUGGUGGAGUAAAGGUUUGCGGGCCAAGCAUUAUUUCUACGCAGUUUUCUUGCUUUUCCUUGCUUCUGUUGUAUUUCUUCUUGCUAUUGAAAAGAUGUAAAUCGGUGAAAGAUGAUUAUUUAUCUUGGAUAAGUUUGCGCUCAUGGAAAAAGGUUUGUUGGACACCCACUGUUUGUUUUUAUGGAGUUUUCUUCUUCUAUUUGUUCUUAUUUAUUUACUUCUUAGUUUCGAGUAGAUCAAAAAUUGUCGGUACUUCUCUUAUCUUUGGUGAGUUGGUAUCCAAUUGUGUGGCCAUGAAAGAAAUGUGUUCUGCUCAAGCAUUGAAAAGCUUGUCGCGGUCACCGAGAGCUCGCCUGGGAGCCGUCGUGAGCACUGUCUCCUGGGAGCCGCCAUGAAUCUUGUAGACGACGUCCAGACCUCGAUUGUAGAACAUGGGUCGCCAUGAAGGAAUUAAACGAUGCGGUACAACAACUUCAGCAGGGGACAGUGAAGACCAUGGGAGGGGCUUGGGGAACGAUGGGCAGCGGCAUGCAGAGCUGAUGCCAGUGCACCACCGGGAGCUUCUGACAGAACUCGAUCGCAUGUUACUGUUAACAUAGAAAAAACAUAGGAAUCUCAAUGUCCGGAGGAAGCUAAGCUUCAUCGCCACCGCCCCUUGCUUCCUUACGUCUUUCACCACCGGUGUCCAACGUGAUGUUCACCGGCAGACCAGGCUCAAAGAUGGAGUUAGAGUUGAAGUGAGGUUUCUCCAGUGUGAUUUGUCAGGUUGGCUACCGCCUCGUGAAUUUGUACAUGAUGAGACGGUCUGGUUGUAAUGUAUGCCAUAAAUAUGACUCUGUCAUGCAAUAAAUUUAAGUUUCAAUCAGAUACUUGCGUGAGUGGAGCAGUGGGCCGAGAGAUUCAGCCAUUUCGUAAGAGCUUCGACCUGAUUAUGCAAUGUUGUCUCCCGCAGGGCAAUGUUCGCAAAAUUUCCAUAGAAUGUACAUGUGAAGUCCACCACUUUGAUUCUGUAAUAUACAAUGAUGGUUACAAUUGACGG
Lolium perenne is the source of this 5073-nucleotide non-coding RNA. Lineage: Eukaryota; Viridiplantae; Streptophyta; Magnoliopsida; Poales; Poaceae. The record is from RefSeq and is a predicted model, not a curated record.